This 437-nucleotide RNase P RNA is filed under the name Gracilaria salicornia. RNAcentral's name for it is "putative ribonuclease P". It matches the Rfam family "Bacterial RNase P class A". Rfam says of the family: Ribonuclease P (RNase P) is a ubiquitous endoribonuclease, found in archaea, bacteria and eukarya as well as chloroplasts and mitochondria. Its best characterised activity is the generation of mature 5'-ends of tRNAs by cleaving the 5'-leader elements of precursor-tRNAs. Cellular RNase Ps are ribonucleoproteins. Lineage: Eukaryota; Rhodophyta; Florideophyceae; Gracilariales; Gracilariaceae. The record is from RNAcentral.
CAUAAGUAAACAUAGGUAGUUGCAAAUUUUAACACAAAUUUGAGGAAAGUCCGGGCUCUAAUUAGUAUAAAGUAUAGCUGUAUAAACAACAGUAUAGGCGACUAUAAGGAAAGUGCCACAGAAAAAAACCGCCUAAUUUAUUGUAAUACAUAUAAAGGUAAGGGUGCAAAGGUGCAGUAAAAGCGUACCAGAAGUAUAAAUGACAAUACUUGCUAGGCAAACCCCAUCUAAGAGCAAAGUAAUAAACUUUACAUUUAUUAUAUCUAUCAUCAAAUAAGUAAUUGUAUUUUAUGGUUUAUAUUCAUUACUGCAAAGAAGUUUAUAUGUAAAUAUAAAACAAAGAUUAAUAACUACCCUUAAUACAUUUAAGUUUUGUAAAAAACAAAUAAAUCUUAAAACUAUUAAGAACAAAAUCCGGCUUAUGCUUUACUUCAUAU